GAUGAACGCUGGCGGCGUGCCUAAUACAUGCAAGUCGAGCGAACGGACGAGAAGCUUGCUUCUCUGAUGUUAGCGGCGGACGGGUGAGUAACACGUGGAUAACCUACCUGUAAGACUGGGAUAACUUCGGGAAAUCGGAGCUAAUACCGGAUAAUAUUUUGAACCGCAUGGUUCAAAAGUGAAAGACGGUCUUGCUGUCACUUAUAGAUGGAUCCGCGCUGCAUUAGCUAGUUGGUAAGGUAACGGCUUACCAAGGCAACGAUGCAUAGCCGACCUGAGAGGGUGAUCGGCCACACUGGAACUGAGACACGGUCCAGACUCCUACGGGAGGCAGCAGUAGGGAAUCUUCCGCAAUGGGCGAAAGCCUGACGGAGCAACGCCGCGUGAGUGAUGAAGGUCUUCGGAUCGUAAAACUCUGUUAUUAGGGAAGAACAUAUGUGUAAGUAACUGUGCACAUCUUGACGGUACCUAAUCAGAAAGCCACGGCUAACUACGUG
RNAcentral lists this ribosomal RNA (497 nucleotides) under uncultured bacterium. RNAcentral describes it as "partial 16S ribosomal RNA". It matches the Rfam family "Bacterial small subunit ribosomal RNA", at positions 28 to 507 of the family's 1533-position model. The record is from RNAcentral.